This 450-nucleotide ribosomal RNA is filed under the name uncultured bacterium. Its description in RNAcentral is "partial 16S ribosomal RNA". It matches the Rfam family "Bacterial small subunit ribosomal RNA", at positions 354 to 796 of the family's 1533-position model. The record is from RNAcentral.
GUGGGGAAUAUUGGACAAUGGGCGCAAGCCUGAUCCAGCCAUGCCGCGUGUGUGAAGAAGGCCUUCGGGUUGUAAAGCACUUUUGUCCGGGAAGAAAUCUUCCAGGUUAAUACCCUGGGAGGCUGACGGUACCGGAAGAAUAAGCACCGGCUAACUUCGUGCCAGCAGCCGCGGUAAUACGAAGGGUGCAAGCGUUACUCGGAAUUACUGGGCGUAAAGCGUGCGUAGGUGGUUCGUUAAGUCUGCCGUGAAAGCCCCGGGCUCAACCUGGGAAUGGCGGUGGAUACUGGCGGGCUAGAGUGCGGUAGAGGGUGGUGGAAUUCCCGGUGUAGCAGUGAAAUGCGUAGAGAUCGGGAGGAACAUCUGUGGCGAAGGCGACCACCUGGACUGAUACUGACACUGAGGUGCGAAAGCGUGGGGAGCAAACAGGAUUAGAAACCCUUGUAGUCC